This 2197-nucleotide ribosomal RNA is filed under the name Escherichia coli. RNAcentral describes it as "partial 23S ribosomal RNA". It matches the Rfam family "Bacterial large subunit ribosomal RNA", at positions 1 to 2224 of the family's 2925-position model. Lineage: Bacteria; Pseudomonadati; Pseudomonadota; Gammaproteobacteria; Enterobacterales; Enterobacteriaceae. The record is from RNAcentral.
GUUAAGCGACUAAGCGUACACGGUGGAUGCCCUGGCAGUCAGAGGCGAUGAAGGACGUGCUAAUCUGCGAUAAGCGUCGGUAAGGUGAUAUGAACCGUUAUAACCGGCGAUUUCCGAAUGGGGAAACCCAGUGUGUUUCGACACACUAUCAUUAACUGAAUCCAUAGGUUAAUGAGGCGAACCGGGGGAACUGAAACAUCUAAGUACCCCGAGGAAAAGAAAUCAACCGAGAUUCCCCCAGUAGCGGCGAGCGAACGGGGAGCAGCCCAGAGCCUGAAUCAGUGUGUGUGUUAGUGGAAGCGUCUGGAAAGGCGCGCGAUACAGGGUGACAGCCCCGUACACAAAAAUGCACAUGCUGUGAGCUCGAUGAGUAGGGCGGGACACGUGGUAUCCUGUCUGAAUAUGGGGGGACCAUCCUCCAAGGCUAAAUACUCCUGACUGACCGAUAGUGAACCAGUACCGUGAGGGAAAGGCGAAAAGAACCCCGGCGAGGGGAGUGAAAAAGAACCUGAAACCGUGUACGUACAAGCAGUGGGAGCACGCUUAGGCGUGUGACUGCGUACCUUUUGUAUAAUGGGUCAGCGACUUAUAUUCUGUAGCAAGGUUAACCGAAUAGGGGAGCCGAAGGGAAACCGAGUCUUAACUGGGCGUUAAGUUGCAGGGUAUAGACCCGAAACCCGGUGAUCUAGCCAUGGGCAGGUUGAAGGUUGGGUAACACUAACUGGAGGACCGAACCGACUAAUGUUGAAAAAUUAGCGGAUGACUUGUGGCUGGGGGUGAAAGGCCAAUCAAACCGGGAGAUAGCUGGUUCUCCCCGAAAGCUAUUUAGGUAGCGCCUCGUGAAUUCAUCUCCGGGGGUAGAGCACUGUUUCGGCAAGGGGGUCAUCCCGACUUACCAACCCGAUGCAAACUGCGAAUACCGGAGAAUGUUAUCACGGGAGACACACGGCGGGUGCUAACGUCCGUCGUGAAGAGGGAAACAACCCAGACCGCCAGCUAAGGUCCCAAAGUCAUGGUUAAGUGGGAAACGAUGUGGGAAGGCCCAGACAGCCAGGAUGUUGGCUUAGAAGCAGCCAUCAUUUAAAGAAAGCGUAAUAGCUCACUGGUCGAGUCGGCCUGCGCGGAAGAUGUAACGGGGCUAAACCAUGCACCGAAGCUGCGGCAGCGACGCUUAUGCGUUGUUGGGUAGGGGAGCGUUCUGUAAGCCUGCGAAGGUGUGCUGUGAGGCAUGCUGGAGGUAUCAGAAGUGCGAAUGCUGACAUAAGUAACGAUAAAGCGGGUGAAAAGCCCGCUCGCCGGAAGACCAAGGGUUCCUGUCCAACGUUAAUCGGGGCAGGGUGAGUCGACCCCUAAGGCGAGGCCGAAAGGCGUAGUCGAUGGGAAACAGGUUAAUAUUCCUGUACUUGGUGUUACUGCGAAGGGGGGACGGAGAAGGCUAUGUUGGCCGGGCGACGGUUGUCCCGGUUUAAGCGUGUAGGCUGGUUUUCCAGGCAAAUCCGGAAAAUCAAGGCUGAGGCGUGAUGACGAGGCACUACGGUGCUGAAGCAACAAAUGCCCUGCUUCCAGGAAAAGCCUCUAAGCAUCAGGUAACAUCAAAUCGUACCCCAAACCGACACAGGUGGUCAGGUAGAGAAUACCAAGGCGCUUGAGAGAACUCGGGUGAAGGAACUAGGCAAAAUGGUGCCGUAACUUCGGGAGAAGGCACGCUGAUAUGUAGGUGAAGUCCCUCGCGGAUGGAGCUGAAAUCAGUCGAAGAUACCAGCUGGCUGCAACUGUUUAUUAAAAACACAGCACUGUGCAAACACGAAAGUGGACGUAUACGGUGUGACGCCUGCCCGGUGCCGGAAGGUUAAUUGAUGGGGUCAGCGCAAGCGAAGCUCUUGAUCGAAGCCCCGGUAAACGGCGGCCGUAACUAUAACGGUCCUAAGGUAGCGAAAUUCCUUGUCGGGUAAGUUCCGACCUGCACGAAUGGCGUAAUGAUGGCCAGGCUGUCUCCACCCGAGACUCAGUGAAAUUGAACUCGCUGUGAAGAUGCAGUGUACCCGCGGCAAGACGGAAAGACCCCGUGAACCUUUACUAUAGCUUGACACUGAACAUUGAGCCUUGAUGUGUAGGAUAGGUGGGAGGCUUUGAAGUGUGGACGCCAGUCUGCAUGGAGCCGGCCUUGAAAUACCACCCUUUAAUGUUUGAUGUUCUA